This 697-nucleotide long non-coding RNA is filed under the name Phoenix dactylifera (date palm). Its description in RNAcentral is "long non-coding RNA (PDAC_LNC013153)". The record is from RNAcentral. Lineage: Eukaryota; Viridiplantae; Streptophyta; Magnoliopsida; Arecales; Arecaceae.
AAUGAUAAGAUGUUAUUUACUUAAGCUCUAGGCAAUUACAAGUAAAGCAGUGGAAAAUUAAGCUAGAGCAAUUAUACUAUGGCUUUAGGGUGCAAUUGAUCUAAAAUUAACUUAUAGUUGUAUGAUCAAUUUUAAUCUAUGUGUAUGGUAAGAAUGGAGUGGAAGCUAAGCAAAUUCUAAACAAUCACUUAUAACUCUAUAGAAAACAAAGCUAGAGAUAUUACACAAUCAAGUAUGAAUAUAAGGCAUGAAAUACAAGAGAUAAGGCAUCACAAACACAAAGAUGUAUAGUGGUUCGGUGCACCCCAGCACCUACAUCCACUCUCCAAGACCUCUUGGAAAUUUUACUAUAAUCCCCCAGAUUACAGCCGGUUAUUUUACAAGCUCACAACCUAACUUGUUGUUUUCACGAGAUCACAACGAACUCAGUCGGUUUUCACAGGCUCACCGACUAGAACCAACCGAUUGUUUUUCCGGGUUCACAAUCAAACCCAGUUGGUUUUUCCGGUUCACCAACCACAACCUUACACCGUUGGUUUUCCUUUGGCUCACCAACAAACCUUAACCCCUUGAUUCAAUCCCUUGAUUGAAUCAAGUUACAAGAUAUUAGAACAAGAGUUUAAACAAAUACAAGCUUCUUAAACAAGCAGAUAUAACAAUAUAAACAAAUAGAGUAAAGAGAAGAAACCCUCAAACA